This 4930-nucleotide long non-coding RNA is filed under the name Nicotiana benthamiana. RNAcentral's name for it is "long non-coding RNA (NBEN_LNC017617)". The record is from RNAcentral. Lineage: Eukaryota; Viridiplantae; Streptophyta; Magnoliopsida; Solanales; Solanaceae.
CUUAACCAACUGAGAAAGAAUAAUGUCUUUUACCAAUUCAGCAGCUUUAGAGAAUAGGGGCGGCAACCAGAGGCGUUCGUCUAGAUAAAGGGAUACAAGCAAUCUACUUAGUGGUUUCAGCAAACAUGGAACAAGAAAGGUGUGAAGAGGCGCUGAGACCACAUCAUUAGCAGCCAUUCCAGCUUCUCUACGUGAACAUGGAGGUGGUGCACAUGUAAGAGCCUCUACCCAAUCCCUCUCCCCCACCUUAAAAUUGGGAAGAGGGGGAGAUGUAGCAUCGGGAACUUUCACUGCUGCAGAGAGUCGCUCAUGCAAGGGAAAGCUCCUUUUUAAAGCAAUUAUGGCUGCCUGAGUACACAGAGCCUGCAAAUCAGCACCAGCAAAGCCCACUGUCUUGCAAGCUAUCCACUUGAGUACUGGUCCAGAGACAGGUUUAGGCCAUUUCUUUGUUUGCAAGGAGAGAAUAGCUUCUCUGUCCUUAACAGAUGGAAGUGGAAAGUAAAUCUCGCGGUCGAACCUACCCGGACGCCUUAAUGCUGGAUCAACAGAAUCAGGACGAUUUGUGGCUCCUAUUACAACAACUGAACCUCGAGAUUUUAAACCAUCCAUUAGAGCAAUUUCAUAACCUUUGGAAUUAAAUAUUAGCGAACAAUGAAAUUGCAUUGUUUGGAUAACAUCAUGCAUUGUAUAGGACCUCAAAAGCAGCAGCAGUUGAAGGAUACGGAAAAUUGACAAAAGAAGUCGAUCUACUGAUCACUGAAGAUGAUAAGAAAAUCAAAUCAAAAUGAAAUAGAAAACCAAAAUUUUGAUUUUUACAUCUCGUAGUUCCACUCUUACUCCGCAGUCAUACAAAAAAAUUCCCGUAUGCCAAUCAAUCAAAAGGUUCCUUUCUCAUUACUAUCCACUCUACAAGAGAACAAAGGCAUAACGUCUCAAAUUUACAAUGAGUAGAAACAUCCUUCUUGUCUAAGUUGGUCAGUACACCAUCUCUAAGGAUAAACUCAGUAUCAAGCUCCUGAGGCAAAUUCUGAGAAGAUUUACAUUUCUCAGUUAUGCCAUUGCCUUUCAAAUGGCAAUCACAAUCUCUCAGGUUGAUUAAAUUGUCCCCCAAGUUUCGACAUCCACGCAUGUUCAAGCAAAUUCUGAGAAGAUUUGCAUUUCUCAGUUAUGCCAUUGCCUUUCAAGUGGCAAUCACAAUCUCUCAGCUUGAUUAAAUUGUCCCCUAAGUUUCGACAUCCACGCAUGUUAGUUUCCUUGCAUUCAAAGUAUUCACUGUACCUUUCUUGUACUCGCUUCUCAUCGAGCGAAGUUGAAUUGUUAGCCAGCAACCAAAUCCUCAAAGCCGAAUGAAGAUGUGCAGCUAAUGAGGCCAGAAAGUCAUAAGCCUCCUCUACCGUAUACUCAACCUUUUUUAGUCCCCACUCGUGGGAAAUCAUUUUUCUCAAGGUGCACUGAAAUCCUCUACCAUAUACUCAACCUUUUUUAGUCCCCACUCGUGGGAAAUCAUUUUUCUCAAGGUGCACUGAAGGUUCAGCAGGCACUGAGAACAGCACCGAAAUAAACACACUACACUAGAGUCAGUUGAAAGAUUGGAAGAUCUAUUUGAUGAACAUUCAAGACCUAUGCUAUUGCCAACCGACUUUUGGUUGCUAUCUCCGAUUUGAAGAUUGUUUGGAGUGGACAAUCUUCCAUUUGUGUUGGAACUCGUACUAUAAUUGGGAAGCUCAAUGCCACACCUCUCCUUGGAAUAAUUGCUACCAUCUUCUUGAACAUCAUCAAUAUUUAUCUCCAUGAGCCCAUUAGAAUGUGCUUCUGGAUUAAGACGACUACAAUUUUCAGCAGUUAAUUCUGGCCGAUAAGUUUCCAGUAUCUCCGGUUUGUCAAGGGAUUCUUUUAGCUCACGAUCUCCCUCCCUUUGAGGUGAAUCCUCAGGAGCAUUAGCGCUUUUCGGAAGUCCCGCACAACCAAUUUUUGGGUUUGCCACUGCGAGUUGAGAGUCUCCCUCUAAACUGAAAGUAAAGCCAUUUGCAUUAGAUGUAAGGCUGGAAAUAAGAAACCAAAAGAAACUGUACACGAACUACAAGUAGAGCCAAACUUACCUCUGCAAUGUAUAAACCCAGCUAUUAACCAUGUCAUCAAGAUAAGCCACUUGCGAUAAAAGACGACCAAAUUGAUACCUAUCCCUCCCAUUCUGAACUUUAUAAUUGAUUUGUUCAACCAGAAGCUCGAGAACUUUUCGAACCUCCGAGAAAACUUCUCUAACGGAUGAGUAUUUGCCUCUGUAUGCCAACAAUCCAAUAGCUAUCAGGCCUCGCACCAUACAGUAUUUCUCUUUGCCUUUAGUAUUGUUGGAAGAAAGGAUAACAUUUCUCAUUGAGUUAAUAGGUCGAAUAACACAAGAAUUGAAUGGCCAACCCUUCCAAGGUCCAUUUAUGUCAGCACAAGGACCUUCUCUUAACUUGGAUGUAAACCAACAAAGUUCAGCAAAAUGAGGAUAUAGCAGAAUUUGAUAGCCAAAUGUGGUAAUUGCUAACAUCAAGCUUGAUUUCGCUUUUACAUUUCUACUGUUAACUAUUGCAGUAGUAGGAACUGGACAUUGUUUAUGCACAUGCUCAAUUGUUGGUCUAAGAUCUGACCUCUGACAUUCUAUGGCAACAUUUCCCUCAGAUUUGUCACUAGCUUCAUUAUUGCAGGUGUGCAAGUGGACAUGGUUUGUACGAUGAAUCAGCUGAAUGAAGUGCUGAGCUAAAUCUUUUGACAACUUUGCUGCUGAGGAAUCAAUCAGACAUUCUUGAUUAAAAUUUCUAUCAAGCUGCUCGGUAAAUCUAGAAACUGAAUCCUCCAAGGGAAUUGGGAUACUGCAGUUCAACAUCUGACUUUUAAAGAACUGCCUCACUCUAACAGGGAGUGCUUCCAAGUGUACAUCGCAUGUAGCCUGUUUAAGGAAAUAGGAAACAGAAGGCAGUGGGUGCAAAAGAGUAAGUUCUUUAAUGAUUAAAAGUUGGUUAAAGAAUGUCUCUUUAAUGCUUUUAAGACUAUCCUAGAUUACACCUUGAUAUUUGUGCAAUCUAGGAUAGUCUUAAAAGCAUUAAAGAGAAUCACAUUGUAUGCCAGAAUACGUUUUUUUUUCGCAUGCAAACUUGCUAAUACAACAACAACAACAACAACAACCCAGUAUAAUCCCACUUAGUGGGGUCUGGGGAGGGUAGUGUGUACGCAGACCUUACACUUACCCUUGGGUAGAGAGGUUGUUUCCAAAUAGACCCUCGGCAUCCUUCCCUCCAAGAACUUCCCAACUUGCUCUUGGGGAGACUCGAACUCACAACCUCUCGGUUGGAAGAGGGGAUUGAUUACCAUCAGAACAACUAUUAUUAUGCAAAUGAGCUUCCUUGCCUAAUGAUUCAGGCUUUACUGAAGAACAACUAUCCUCCUGACAGACUUGAUCAGAUGUCUCCACGGCCCAUAAAUCAAUUCUUGGCAUAAAUAUCAUGCACUUCCCCACACUAGCACAUCUCACUGCACAAGAGAUACACAUUUACUACUUCCUUCAGCAGGAUGAGAAAAAUCAAAAGCAUUAACUUAAAAACAAGUAAUUCAUCAAGCAUACCAGCAUGUUUUCAGGGGCCAUUCAUGCACAACUGAUCAUUUGGCACCCUCAAAAAAACCAAACAAGAAAAAUUGAUUGAUUGAUGGAUUAACACGCGCGCGCGUGCACACAUACAAACACAUGCAUGCACUCAUUGCUACAAAACACAACCAUGUGACAAUGUUGACAACCAAAACACAGAAAACAGCCAAAAAAAGGAGCCAAAUUACAAACAUCCCUCAGGGUUAUGAACAGUUAUACACGCCACUCGAAUUUUAAAUAACUUUCACGUGUUUUCUGAUUACAAGCACAUUUAACCAGGAUAAUAGCUGUUUUCAGAAUGAUUUUUGUAGAGUCGUGUUACGAGGAAGUUAGCACCAAUGUCGCAAACCUAGUGGUGGUAACAAGUUCAGAAGAUAAUUAAAGGAAAACUUUCACAAGAUGGAACCCCAUUAAUAAGGUAUCUCUCUUUGGAAUGGAACUGAACUUUUGGGUAUAAAAAUGUUUUGAGAACUUAUGUCACAUCAUGGAAAUAAGGUUCCUUGCCUAAAGGCAAGUCCAGUAGAUGUUUGUACUUCCAGUAAGCACUUCCAUCCAUUAGGAGUGAGAUAAUUAAAAACAGAGAAGGAACAUACUGAGUAUCCGCGUCAAACCCUGAAUGACAUCUCCAUGUCCUUCUUGAGAAAUAGUGGCCAAAUCCACCUUCUGGACAUCAACAUUACCAACAAAACAAUGAAGAAGAGAGGAAGCAAGAUGCCUCUGGCCAGAUCUUGGAUUUCCAGAAAUUAGUAUUCUAAAUCCCGAUUUCUUUCCAGGCAUAUGAAAGAUAUUCUUCAACAAUUUAGGCCGAGCCCCUGCACACUGCAACUUUGAUGGUUCAGAAUCAGCGCGACUGUGAACAAUGUCAUCAUCACUAGCAUCAAAACCACCAACACUAGCAUCUCCAACCAGAAUGUUGGCACGUAUAAAGUGAUCUUCAAUCUGACUGAUAACAUCUGGUUCUUGAAGCAAAUCAUUAACAUAGGACUGCCAAUUAUUGCAUGGUAUGUUCUUCUUAACCAACUGAGAAAGAAUAAUGUCUUUUACCAAUUCAGCAGCUUUAGAGAAUAGGGGCGGCAACCAGAGGCGUUCGUCUAGAUAAAGGGAUACAAGCAAUCUACUUAGUGGUUUCAGCAAACAUGGAACAAGAAAGGUGUGAAGAGGCGCUGAGACCACAUCAUUAGCAGCCAUUCCAGCUUCUCUACGUGAACAUGGAGGUGGUGCACAUGUAAGAGCCUCUACCCAAUCCCUCUCCUCCACCUUAAAAUUGGGAAGAGGGGGAGAUGUAGCAUCGGGAACUUUCAC